RNAcentral lists this ribosomal RNA (429 nucleotides) under Bacteroidota bacterium. RNAcentral's name for it is "Bacteroidetes bacterium partial 16S ribosomal RNA". It matches the Rfam family "Bacterial small subunit ribosomal RNA", at positions 355 to 776 of the family's 1533-position model. Lineage: Bacteria; Pseudomonadati; Bacteroidota. The record is from RNAcentral.
UAGGGAAUCUUCCGCAAUGGACGCAAGUCUGACGGAGCAACGCCGCGUGAGUGAAGAAGGAUUUCGGUUCGUAAAACUCUGUUGUUAGAGAAGAACAGCGCAUAGAGUAACUGUUAUGCGUGUGACGGUAUCUAACCAGAAAGCCACGGCUAACUACGUGCCAGCAGCCGCGGUAAUACGUAGGUGGCAAGCGUUGUCCGGGUUUAUUGGGCGUAAAGCGAGCGCAGGCGGUCAAUUAAGUCUGAUGUGAAAGCCCCCGGCUCAACCGGGGAGGGUCAUUGGAAACUGGUUGACUUGAGUGCAGAAGAGGAGAGUGGAAUUCCAUGUGGAGCGGUGAAAUGCGUAGAUAUAUGGAGGAACACCAGUGGCGAAAGCGGCUCUCUGGUCUGUAACUGACGCUGAGGCUCGAAAGCGUGGGGAGCGAACAGG